Molecule: ribosomal RNA, 1034 nt
Filed under: Escherichia coli
Lineage: Bacteria; Pseudomonadati; Pseudomonadota; Gammaproteobacteria; Enterobacterales; Enterobacteriaceae
Description: partial 23S ribosomal RNA
Rfam family: Bacterial large subunit ribosomal RNA
Source: RNAcentral
CGGGACACGUGGUAUCCUGUCUGAAUAUGGGGGGACCAUCCUCCAAGGCUAAAUACUCCUGACUGACCGAUAGUGAACCAGUACCGUGAGGGAAAGGCGAAAAGAACCCCGGCGAGGGGAGUGAAAAAGAACCUGAAACCGUGUACGUACAAGCAGUGGGAGCCUCUUUAUGGGGUGACUGCGUACCUUUUGUAUAAUGGGUCAGCGACUUAUAUUCUGUAGCAAGGUUAACCGAAUAGGGGAGCCGAAGGGAAACCGAGUCUUAACUGGGCGUUAAGUUGCAGGGUAUAGACCCGAAACCCGGUGAUCUAGCCAUGGGCAGGUUGAAGGUUGGGUAACACUAACUGGAGGACCGAACCGACUAAUGUUGAAAAAUUAGCGGAUGACUUGUGGCUGGGGGUGAAAGGCCAAUCAAACCGGGAGAUAGCUGGUUCUCCCCGAAAGCUAUUUAGGUAGCGCCUCGUGAAUUCAUCUCCGGGGGUAGAGCACUGUUUCGGCAAGGGGGUCAUCCCGACUUACCAACCCGAUGCAAACUGCGAAUACCGGAGAAUGUUAUCACGGGAGACACACGGCGGGUGCUAACGUCCGUCGUGAAGAGGGAAACAACCCAGACCGCCAGCUAAGGUCCCAAAGUCAUGGUUAAGUGGGAAACGAUGUGGGAAGGCCCAGACAGCCAGGAUGUUGGCUUAGAAGCAGCCAUCAUUUAAAGAAAGCGUAAUAGCUCACUGGUCGAGUCGGCCUGCGCGGAAGAUGUAACGGGGCUAAACCAUGCACCGAAGCUGCGGCAGCGACGCUUAUGCGUUGUUGGGUAGGGGAGCGUUCUGUAAGCCUGCGAAGGUGUGCUGUGAGGCAUGCUGGAGGUAUCAGAAGUGCGAAUGCUGACAUAAGUAACGAUAAAGCGGGUGAAAAGCCCGCUCGCCGGAAGACCAAGGGUUCCUGUCCAACGUUAAUCGGGGCAGGGUGAGUCGACCCCUAAGGCGAGGCCGAAAGGCGUAGUCGAUGGGAAACAGGUUAAUAUUCCUGUACUUGGUGUU